GGGUAGAUGACUGAGUUGGUUUAAGGUGCUUCGCUUGAAACGAAAUAAAGUAUUUUACUUUCAUGGGUUCAAAUCCCAUUCUGCCCG
Molecule: transfer RNA, 87 nt
Filed under: Coemansia sp. RSA 552
Lineage: Eukaryota; Fungi; Kickxellomycota; Kickxellomycetes; Kickxellales; Kickxellaceae
Description: tRNA-Ser
Rfam family: tRNA
About the family: Transfer RNA (tRNA) molecules are approximately 80 nucleotides in length. Their secondary structure includes four short double-helical elements and three loops (D, anti-codon, and T loops).
Source: RNAcentral